Molecule: ribosomal RNA, 450 nt
Filed under: uncultured bacterium
Lineage: Bacteria
Description: partial 16S ribosomal RNA
Rfam family: Bacterial small subunit ribosomal RNA
Source: RNAcentral
AACGAACGCUGGCGGCAUGCCUAACACAUGCAAGUCGAACGAGAUCUUCGGGUCUAGUGGCGCACGGGUGCGUAACGCGUGGGAAUCUGCCCUUUGGUUCGGAAUAACAGUUGGAAACGACUGCUAACACCGGAUGAUGACGAAAGUCCAAAGAUUUAUCGCCAGAGGAUGAGCCCGCGUAGGAUUAGCUUGUUGGUAGGGUAAAGGCCUACCAAGGCUAUGACGGGUAGGGGGCGUGAGAGCGCGUUCCCCCAGAAUGGGACUGAGACACGGCCCAUACACCUACGGGUGGCAGCAACAGGGAAUCGUACACAAUGGACGAAAGUCUGAUGUCGCAAUGCCGCGUGGAGGAUGAAGGCCUUCGGGUUGUAAACUCCUUUUGCCAAGAAAUACUAAAGAAGGUACUUGGAGAAUAAGCACCUGCAAACUACGUGCCAGCCGCCGCCGUAA